Molecule: long non-coding RNA, 144 nt
Organism: Octopus sinensis (East Asian common octopus)
Lineage: Eukaryota; Metazoa; Mollusca; Cephalopoda; Octopoda; Octopodidae
Exons: 4
Source: RefSeq, a predicted model, not a curated record
CUGGAGCAAAUUUGAAAUAAAGUGUCUUGCUCAAGAACACAACACACAGCCUGGACUGGGAAUCGAACUCACUACAUCAUGGUUGUGAACCCGACGCUUUAACCACUGGGUCAUGCGCCUGAACAAAGGCCAAAUGUAUUAUAU